RNAcentral lists this long non-coding RNA (442 nucleotides) under Gallus gallus (chicken). Lineage: Eukaryota; Metazoa; Chordata; Aves; Galliformes; Phasianidae. The record is from RNAcentral.
CUUGGUAAGCAGUCCUAGCAGGAACUAGUCUUUGCAGGAUGUUGGAUUGAGUGCUACCGGAAAGAGCAGCAUAGUGGCUGGUAGCUGCUGACUUGAGUCAGUGGUGGUUUUUCCAUUACUCUUGCCAUACCAACAUGCUUCAGAGAACUGAAAAUCAUAGAAAUUAGAAGGAGGAAGUGCUGCUAAUUUUAGGCUGAAUGUUGAAUCAGAAAACAGAGCUGGGCUAGGCUGUACCUCUUCACCCAGACCCAGGCAGAUUUGAAGGCACUCCUGCGUAGGAGACUGUGAACCCUGAGCAGCAGCGUGACAGGGUAAAAUUGAGCUCCCUUCUGUCAGGUGCCCUCACAGAAAAUGAUAGUACCACUUGCAUUUUCCAGUUCUUCUGCAAUUUGACUGACUGGGUUUACAGUUGGGAAUGAGGAGAUUAUUUCUGUGUAAGCAG